Molecule: long non-coding RNA, 811 nt
Organism: Eucalyptus grandis
Lineage: Eukaryota; Viridiplantae; Streptophyta; Magnoliopsida; Myrtales; Myrtaceae
Exons: 2
Source: RefSeq, a predicted model, not a curated record
UCUUCUUCCUUUCUUCUUCAUCCUCCCCUUCUUUGUUGUUGCCACCUCCUCACGCCAGCCUUGACCAGCCAUCACUCCACCUCUCGAUCCCGCACCACCCUCACCACCUCACCGCCCAACCGUCCUCCUCUGCCCACAAGUAGCCCCGCCACGCCAGCCCAACCAAGACCGUUCGGCCAACUCAAGCAGAAUAGAAUCCCAGCUCAAGGCUGUGAGCUUGUGAGCCAUUUUUCAGCCCCAUCCGACCCUCCGUUGGAGAAAUCGUAGGCACGGGAUCUCACCGCCGUCGCGCCACCGUAGCCGUGGACCUUUUAUCUUGCUAAUCCAGGAGGUACCAAGGCGAUGUAAGUUGUGAGUGAUGCAUGUUUAGGCUGCCUCUAGGUGAAUUUUCAUCUUAAUCGGGGUUUAGGGUGUGGACUCGCUGAGAUUUCUUCUCACCCCGUCGUGGUUAACUUUUUCAAAUCCCUAGGAUGGAGAAUCCGGAGCUCGAGGUGAAAGGGUCCGGGGUGUGGAUUGUCUGGUAGUUUCUUUUUGAAACAGACCUCUGUAUAUAAAGUGUGUUUUGUAAAAAUUGGUUGUCCUACUUUUCUAUCCCAUGUUUGAUUGUUGUCUGGGGUUUAUUAGUUCACUUCCGCAUGUACAUAAAACAAAAGGGUCAGCGACGCGUCCUAGGAUGUCGCAAAUUCUAUCGACCAUCGAGGGAUGUUCAUACGCUCGAGGUUCGGAACGUGACAAAUAUGUUCUCUUUCUUUUUUAUUCUUUGAUUCCAAGCUUGAAAGAGGAGAUGCAAAUAUACUUUUCUCUUCUCCCA